CCAGGUGAACAACAUUGAGCGGCGCAAGCGAGCGAUUUCAAAGCGAUUCCGAGGCGAUUUCGAGGCGGUACGAAAUCGAAUUCAACCGAAGUGCGCGUCGGCCCUUCGUUGUUGUUGUUUUUUUUUUUCAGUUACACUCUGUUGUUUGAGAGUGCGAGUGUGAGCGAGAUAGCGAACGAGAGUGUGGGAGUGGUGCGACAAGGAAGGAGCACCAGCCUCCUUUGAAUAUUCAGUGCGCCAGGACGAGAGAAUCGAAACGAAUCGGAACGAAACGCAACGAAACGAAACGAGAGGAAACGAGACUUCGCAGGACCUUUUUUUGGGGGCAACUGGCGCGAGGACGUCGCUGCGGCGAACAGAAACACGCUGGCCGUUGACCGAGUGGCAACGCAGCCCGGAGAAUCGGCAUUGGAAUUGAAGAAUUCCCCUACUUUUUUCAGAAGAAUCAAGAGUAUCGUAUCGUAUCAUCGUAGUGCAUCGCAUCGCAUUGAAUCGAAUCGAAUCGGAUAGGCUGAAAGCAAAACUGAGAGACUAAGAAUUGGCAGCUGUUGCAUGCAGUUGCGGCAGACUCAGUGACGCCGCGAGUGACGUCGCCGCGUCUUGUUUUUGUUGUUUGUUUGUUUGGUGACCCCGACGCGAAACGAUCCUCGCGAGUGUGUGACCGGGACAGCAAUAUAUACAUAUAAUCCUCGGAGAAACAAUUGAAGAAAACAGUGCCAGAGAGAAAGAGUACGAGGUAUUUCGCAUUCGAGCCAAUGGUCAGAGCGACAGGGACAAGGAUGGGCCUGCUCCUGCCCGUUAUCCUGGCACUGGCCAUCGGAUCCUUGGCCGCCGGCAUAUCCUCCAAUGAUCCCUGCUACUUUGAGGGCAAGCCGCGCAAGUGUCUGCCCAGUUUCGUGAAUGCCGCCUAUGGAAAUCCCGUCCAGGCAUCCAGCGUUUGUGGCGCCCAACAGCCGGAGCGGUACUGCGAGCUGCUGCGCGAUGGUAAUGCCGGCGAGUGUCGUUCAUGCGAACAGCAGCGAUAUGGUCCGGCGGCAUUAACCGAUCUGAAUAAUCCCAGCAAUGUGACCUGCUGGCGAUCGGGUGCCGUGAAUGUGCCCCACGAUCCGGACAGUGCGCCGCCGGAUAAUGUGACCCUAACCUUGUCGCUGGGCAAGAAGUACGAGCUGACCUAUAUAUCGUUGUCCUUUUGUCCCCGCUCGCCGCGUCCCGAUUCGCUGGCCAUAUUCAAGAGCUCGGAUUUUGGGCAGACCUGGCAACCCUUCCAGUUCUAUAGCUCACAGUGUCAGAAGUUCUAUGGACGACCAGAUCGAGCAAAGAUCUCCAAGUUUAAUGAGCAGGAGGCAAGAUGCAUUAAUUCGCAACAUGAUACGGGCGGAGCUGCCCAGCGAUUUGCCUUCAAUACGCUAGAGGGUCGUCCGUCGGCGAAUGAUUUGGACUCGUCGCUGGUCCUGCAGGAUUGGGUGACAGCAACGGAUAUACGUGUGGUAUUCCAUCGCCUGGAAUUGCCACCGCAACUGCUGAAGGUGAAGAAUGCGAACGCCUUUAGCGAUGAAAUGGGCGGCAGUCGCGAGGAGGAUGAGGAUGAUGAUGCCGAUCUGGAAUUGGAUGGCGAGCAGGAUGAGUACGACUACAAUUUGCAGGACAACGAUAGUGCCGAUGCUGGUUACGACGAGUACGAGGAGCCCAAAAAGCAUUUGGAACUGGAUGACGAUCAUCUGCAUUUGGACUAUGCCAGCGAUGGUGAAUCGAUUGUUAAGCGGCAGGGCAAGCACAAGGGUAGCGCCUAUGAGAAACACUACCAGAGCAAACUGGCGGCCACCACGCCCCCACAACAGUCACCCAAGGUGACGUCACCUGGCAAGGCCACGCCCCCUAGCACAGCUGCCCCCUCCAUCGCGGCCGCCGCUGCCGCCGCCUCAGCCGUGACAUUGCCCAUUUCGCAGCAUUACGCCGUAUCGGAUUUCGCCGUCGGCGGACGUUGCAAGUGCAAUGGUCACGCCUCCGAGUGUGUGGCCACCGUCAGUUCGGGAUCGGGAACGGCACUUGCGGAUCAAGAUGAUGGACAGGACGAGGACACGCCCUCCGCCCCCUCGCUGGCCACCCACUUCGGCGGCCGGAGCACCCAGAUGAGCGCCAAACUGACCAUGACCUGCGCCUGCAAGCACAACACCGCCGGCCCGGAAUGCGAACGCUGCAAGCCCUUCUACUUCGACCGACCCUGGGGCAGGGCCACCGACAACGAUGCCAACGAGUGCAAAAUGUGCCAGUGCAACGGACACGCCCGUCGCUGCCGCUUCAAUCUGGAGCUGUACAAACUAUCUGGCCGGGUUUCGGGAGGUGUGUGCUACAACUGCCAGCACGAUACUACCGGAAGAUACUGCCACUACUGCCGCGAGGGAUAUUAUCGGGAUGCCACUAAGCCGCCAAAUCAUCGCAAAGUCUGCAAGCGUUGCGAUUGCCAUCCAGUUGGUUCGACGGGCAAGACGUGCAAUCACCUGAGUGGCCAGUGUCCCUGCAAGGAGGGCGUCACCGGACUAACGUGCAACCGAUGUGCCCGCGGCUAUCAGCAGACCCGCUCCCACGUGGCACCCUGCAUCAAGGUGCCCACCAAUGCGAACAUGAUUCAGGCCGAGAGCGCUGGCGGCGGUGGAGGUGGUGGCACUGGUGACUACAAGGAUGGUGGUGGCUCGCAGGUCGAGGAGAUGAAGAAGUACUGCGGCAAGUGCAAGGCGAGUCCCAAGAAGCUCAAUCUCAACAAGUUUUGCAUGGAAGAUUAUGCAAUUUUGGCGAAGGUGAUUGGCCACGAUCGCGCCUCCCAGGACAUCAGCACGGAAAAGUUCUCGAUAGAGCGACAGAACGAGAUCUACAAGUACGAGAUCAACAUCCAGACGAUCUUCAAGCGGAAUCCCAUGUCGGGCACAACGAGUUCCCUGCUCGGAAGGGGCAAUAUGAUGCUGCUGGUGCCGCGCAAGAGCAUCGAGUGCCAGUGUCCAAAAAUAAAGCUAAACAAAUCAUAUCUCAUACUUGGACGUGACUCGGAGGCGGCGCCCGGUUACUUGGCCAUUGGACCGAGCUCGGUGGUCCUUGAAUGGAAGGACGAGUGGUCGCUACGCAUGAAGCGGUUCCAGCGGCGGGCACGCAAAUGCAGUUGAAUCGAACCGGAAACGGAAUAUGUCAGAGCGGAUUUCAAUUUCACACACUUGGCUAGCGAAAAUCGAACAUGAGGAGGGUAAGAAGCAAGAGAGCUAAAAUGUAUUUAUAUGUUAUAUGGAACCCGAACUGGAAAGUUUGAACGAUCCAAUGGACUUACUUGUAGAUCACUUCCCUUUUGGUUUGCGAAUGCAUUAAGCAUGGCCUACUAAUCACAUAUCCUUCGACCACACACAAAUAAACACAAUUAAUUAUUGAAUAAUGUUUUUUUUUUAUUGGUCAGACUAAUAUGAAUAUCAAGCGUGUGUGUCCAAAACGAAUUAUUCAUAUGGUAAGCUAAAACAAAACAAAAAAAACAAACAAACAAACCCAUACAUACAUAUAAAAUAUAAAUAUAAUCAAAAAAGAAACGCAAACAUUUUUUUUCUUAGAUUUUUUGUAAAUACUCAAAAAACGUAAGGAUUGAAGAAGAAGAAACGCUGAGGCAAAUAGAACUAUAUAUAUAUAGAUAUAUAUAUUGAUAAAUUGAUUACAUUUUCGAUUAUUGCUAAUUAUUAUGUUGAAUCAUUAAUUGCACACACACACACUUACACACACCCACAAACAAGAAAAGGCAGCAGAAGAAAGCAAGAGAAAUUCACAUUGUCUGAUAUUAAAGUAUUGUA
This 3818-nucleotide unclassified non-coding RNA is filed under the name Drosophila yakuba. Its description in RNAcentral is "GE16108". The record is from RNAcentral. Lineage: Eukaryota; Metazoa; Arthropoda; Insecta; Diptera; Drosophilidae.